This 548-nucleotide ribosomal RNA is filed under the name uncultured Glomeromycotina. RNAcentral's name for it is "SSU rRNA". It matches the Rfam family "Eukaryotic small subunit ribosomal RNA", at positions 548 to 1098 of the family's 1831-position model. The record is from RNAcentral. Lineage: Eukaryota; Fungi; Glomeromycota.
UUGGAGGGCAAGUCUGGUGCCAGCAGCCGCGGUAAUUCCAGCUCCAAUAGCGUAUAUUAAAGUUGUUGCAGUUAAAAAGCUCGUAGUUGAAUUUCGGGAUCAGAUUGUCGGUCGUGCCUCGGUACGCACUGGCAUUAUUGGUUCCUACCUUCUGAAGAACCGCGAUGUCAUUAAUUUGGUGUCGUGGGGAAUCAGGACUGUUACUUUGAAAAAAUUAGAGUGUUUAAAGCAGGCGCACGCUUGAAUACAUUAGCAUGGAAUAAUGAAAUAGGACGUUUGAUUCUAUUUUGUUGGUUUCUAGGAUCGACGUAAUGAUUAAUAGGGAUAGUUGGGGGCAUUAGUAUUCAAUUGUCAGAGGUGAAAUUCUUGGAUUUAUUGAAGACUAACUACUGCGAAAGCAUUUGCCAAGGAUGUUUUCAUUAAUCAAGAACGAAAGUUAGGGGAUCGAAGACGAUCAGAUACCGUCGUAGUCUUAACCAUAAACUAUGCCGACUAGGAAUCGGAUGAUGUUAAUUUUUUAAUGACUCAUUCGGCGCCUUACGGGAAAC